AUUCGAAUAUCCGAUAGUGGAAUCAACGAACUGAUCUAUCCUAGAUUCUUUCAAGUUUGGAUUCAUUGAAUUUUUUAAAAAUUGAAAAAUUCAAAUUGGUUAGUCGGUAGACAUUUUUUUGGUGACCCAUGAGAAUAUUUGCUAAAUCUACCGCACCUAUUGUGACGAUAAGGGUUUCAAAAAGAAAGGGAAAAAAAAAGCCUUAAAUCUAGCCAGAAACCGUGAGAUUUUCGAUGAGGCAUGCCUUGCCAACAAGGGCAUAUUAAUUCCUUGAGUCCCCAUAUUAAACCUUAGGUACCUUAGUAGCCGUCUUUUCCUUUCGAGACACUAUCGUACCUGUGAGGGAGGAGCCGAAAGGUUUAGGUCAGGAAUCAAAACGUCGUGAGAUUUCAGACUUCUGUAAGUCCUUAGGUAGGAGCAAACCGAUGCCAGGGCACUUCGUAACUAGCGGGACAGACGCACCGCCAAGGACGAACGGAAGGCGGUGGUCUCAUCGACAACGGCAGUCGAACUCUGCGAUUAGGGUUCAUCGGGCUUCUCGGGUGAGGAAGACAAAGUAGAGGGUCGCGGGUCGGGUUCUACGGGUACCCACGAGCUCGAUCAGCCAACAUGCGGCCCACCGUUGUGGCCCACGCCUUGCAAUCCGCGUCAAACACUAACUUUGGGCCGCGUAUCCAUUCUAGCCCAAGACCAGCAAUACCAACCUGCAUACAGGAGUUGUGCACCACCAGGGACCUUCUCAGCUUGUCGGCUCAGUGUUUCGGCUCGACGGUGUGGCUCGACGGCUCGGCUUAACGGCUUGGUAUACAAAUAAUAUACCGAUUCCUAGGUUUUCGACCCUUCUGGAGCAGUUCCCGCCCUUAUUUUAGGCAUCUGAGGAGGUAGUUAGACGUGGGUGUUAGCUUAUCGCGAGUAAGGCCAAGAGGUAAGUAACCUUAAUGUUGGUGUUAGUUAUGUAUGUAUGAUGGUGUGCCUUGUGGCCCUUGCAUGCACCAUGUGUGUUGUUGAUGCAUGCUAGGUUAUAUGUUUCUUGCCGCGAAAUGCUACGUAUGCCAUGUUUAUGUAUUUGAUGUUUGUGCCAUGACUUGCUACCCUGUAUGCAUGAGCUUGAUUGACAGGUCACGAUUGUAAUGAGAACUCCGCAUGCCAUGAAUGUGAUGACUAGUGUGCUACGAUAUGCUUACUCGAUGUUUAACCCAGUUAUGCUAUGUAAUGCGGUGAGGGGAUGGAACGUUGUAUGUAUAAUGUCAUGGAGGUAAACCUUAAGGACCUCAUGCACGCUAUGUGUUAAGUACACAGGGUUACUUCCCCGUUGUGUUAAUGAUGGUAUGGACGCGUAUGUUCGAUAUUAUGCUCGCUAUGAUAUCAUGCAGUCCCUCCUUUUCCGUGGCGUCCGGUAUUGUAUGUCAUACGUACUCGACCAAGCCAGGCCCAAGGAGUUCGCAUGUGAACUCGCUUGGUGAGCCCACGGUUAUGUACGUGGGCCAUGCGUGGGGAGCUACCAUGCAUCCACCCUGCCCGGACAAAGCAAGGGCCUAAGGCCAUGGAAAGGAAUGGAAGACAGGUAAGGGCAAGGCCCCCAUGUACGGCUGACGGUGAACGCUGCGAAGGCCAUGGAAGUCUUAGAUAGGGCUUGUAGUGUCGUAGGCGUCUUGUUUGGACUCUUUCGAAUGAUAGUUAAAUUGCAAUUAUUCCUCCUAGUUACCUGUUGAUUUAUUUCUUAGUUAGAUUGUCGCUAUUGUUUUCCCCAAAUAUGAACUACUUAUAAUAAUGAACAUGUUGUCGCUA
This is a non-coding RNA of Cucurbita pepo subsp. pepo (vegetable marrow), 1788 nucleotides long. Lineage: Eukaryota; Viridiplantae; Streptophyta; Magnoliopsida; Cucurbitales; Cucurbitaceae. The record is from RefSeq and is a predicted model, not a curated record.